Molecule: long non-coding RNA, 905 nt
Organism: Rosa rugosa (rugosa rose)
Lineage: Eukaryota; Viridiplantae; Streptophyta; Magnoliopsida; Rosales; Rosaceae
Exons: 4
Source: RefSeq, a predicted model, not a curated record
UCUCUUCUAAAGAUGCAACUCCCUUAUGAACAGUAACUCCCCUUAUGAAUAGUGUGCUGACGACGUUACCCCUGCCAAUCUAGAGUUUUACUUGAUUGCCCUCAGUGUUGUGCUGUCUCUCACUGGCCAUCUGCUCUGUUGUUUUGUUGCCACGAAGAGAGGGGGUUCGAUCUAUAGUCUAAAAGAGAGAGGGGGGAGAGAGAGAACGAUUGCACCCACCCAGAGGAAGAGAAGAAGAAGAAGAGGGGGACAUGAAGCUCUCAGGGAAAUCACUGGUCCGGGCAAUCCAAUACUAAGGUUUAGAAACAGUUGAUGGGUGUUCAAGAUUUGGAAACUGUGGAAAAUUAUCUCUAUCAGAUUUCAACCUACUUGAUACCACCAAUAACAAGGAGUAGCUCAAAUACUGCAGAGCUACUCUGAAAAAAAUUGUAGAAGAAGAUGGGUGGUACUACCUGGGAUGCUCGAUCUGCCACAAACAAAUGAGGAAAAAACUGGACAGCGAAUUGCUCAUAUGCCAGCAGCAUGAUAUGCAGCACGGCCAAUAUAUCUUCAGAGUCACUGUUCUCAUUGAAGAUGAGACUGAUCAAGCACAUGCAGUCUUAAUGGGCAAAGAAGCAGAAGAAAUCUGUGGAAUCUCAUGGGAGAACUUGAUUAUCAAGAAAAACUGCAAAAACCAAAGAAUCAUACCACAAGAAAUUCUUCAAUUAGAAGGAGAGAUCAAACUGCUGAAAUUGAAGACAGGAACAAAAAGAGAUUUCCUUAUAAAGGGGGUGGGUAUACGAAGAUGUUCACAAGUUCACACCAACCCAAGAUAUCGAACCAACAACUUCCACGCCAAAUCCUCUUAGAUUUGGGAAGAAGAGGAAGGAAUUAUUCAAAGCAAAACCAAGCAAGAACCCAAAAAG